AUCGGUCAGUUUUUUUUAAUUUCCAGCAAAGUAUAUAAACAAAGUAAAUUAGUUUACCUUACCACACAUACUUCGACGGAGACAAUUGAAGGAACUGUCUUUAGUUUGUAAGUGUCUGUUGAUUUUCAUAUUAUUCUUACAAGGCUUUAAAUAGAUCUGCAAUGCUUCAACAACUUAGCAAGAUUAUGAAAAAUGUCGUAUAUUGUUCUGAUAUUUUUGUUUACUAGCUUACACAACUUUGAAUAAUUUUAAUACUAAGGUUUUUUUUCUAUCUCAGGAGUAGAUUACAUCAGCUGUUUUUUGAAACACCUUAGGAUUUUUUUUAUAAAUAUUUAAAUACAUGAAAAUAAACUAUAUAAUUAUGUAUUUAAUGAUACGGUAGGUCACUGAUUCUCUGAAGAUAUAUACUGUUACAAAAAUAGAAGAGUGUGUACUAGAGAUAAUAUUGAGAUGUUUGGAUUGCUUAAGGACUGUUCUUAUUUAUCUCUGAAGAUUUAUGUUGUUACAAGAAAAGUUGUAUUGAGAUAUGGAUUGGUUGGACUCGUUUUUGUAUUUAAACAUACAUGGAUAUUUGGAAUAUUUUUGACUCCUAGUAAUCCUCACAUAUCUUUUUGUUAGUAAAUCCUCACAUAUCUUUUUGUCUAUCUUCUUACAUUAAAUAACUGGGCCUAAUUUUCAAUUAAUGUCGUAGGAUUAUUAAUAUAUUUUCUUUAUUGAUGUUUGACAAAAAUGUAGACAUUUUAUAUUUGAGAUCCAAAUUUAAUGGUUUAUCUCCCUAUACAUGGAACUAUUAAAGGAAAUUUCUACAUUCUACGGGCUUUUGUCAGAACUAUACUAGUAGGACAUUGGACGUUCAGUGAAAAAUAGUUCCAUUGUGUUUUUUUUUUCAGAUGUCACUACUAUAAAACAUUUGCUAUCAAAAUUAUCUUAGUACUAUGGAUUAGCAUUAUUUCAACUCAAUCGUUGGGUCAUAUUCAGCCAAUCAAGCACUAUUUUUUGCGCAUUGGUCGGGUUGGUUUAUCUUUGACAAAUUUCCCAUUUCAUUCCAAACUAUAUUACAGAAUUUGGAAUAACUCAGAAUUCAACAAAACUAUGGUAUAUCUUUAAUAUAAUAUUUGGAAAUGAUGUGUUAAAUAACAUUGUGUAUUGUAGUGUUUUAUACCAUGAAAAUGUACUUAAUUCGUUUUGUUUUAUUCAAAAACAAAUGAACGAAAAAUUUCUACAUAUCUUUUUUCUUAACCUUAGUUAAGGAUAUUGCACUUUUAAAAUAUACAAUUUUAUUACUUUAGAAAAGGAAAAAUGUGUAGUAUUAGAAAAAGAACAAUGUAUAGUAAAAGAAAAGGAACAAUGUGGAGUAUAAGAAAAAGAACAAUGUACGGUAUAAGAAAAGGAACAAUGUGCAGUAUUAGAAAAAGAACAUAUUACAUAAUUAUAACAUUCGCAUGAUGCAUUCAAUACAGGAAGUUUUGUAUUAAUAAAGUUCUAUCAGAAUUCGUUUUUUUAUAUAAUUUCCUACAGAAUAUAUUCGGAAAAAUCGUAUCCUACAUUAUUAUAUGUCAUCUAGGUGAGGAAAUCCUCUGCAAGAUGAAAAUAGGCAAGAUUCUGUGUGCGAUGUUCAUGAUGCUAAUGUCAGUUUUAGCAGGAGCAGCUAGUGGAGCCUACUAAUGGACGACUGGACAUCAACAGGUCUACCACCACUUCCAGGACUUGAAUUUCACAGAGAAAAACGAGAUGCUAAUGCCAACAAUCUAGAUAGAAUGGUAAGGUUUCCAGUAAUUACGUAAAGAACAAUUAUUCCUUAUAUUAAGUUUUAAAAUAACAACAACAACAACUACUACUACUACUAUAACUACUACAACUACUACUUUUAUUACAACAACAAAAACAACCACUAAUACAUCAACAACAACAACAUAAUAAUAAUAAUAAUAAUAACAAUAAUAAUAAUAAUAAUAAUAAUAAUAAUAAUAAUAAUAAUGAUAAUAAUAAUAAUAAUAAUAAUAAUAAUAGUUAAAAUAAUGAUAAUAAUAUUAUGAUAAUGAUAAUAAUAAUGAUAAAAUAAUAAUGAUAAUAAUAACAACACAAUCAAUAAUAAUCGUUUUUUUUUCAGUUAAAAAGAGGCUAGUUGGUCUGUGGCACAACAAACUGGAUCUUUCAUCAUUAAAUAAAAGAAGUUGAACUAAAUUUUAUUUAUCGUUGAUCUAUAUAUAUUGUUUUGUUAUUUCAUCUUAACAUUCUAUUGGCCAUAUGUUCCUUGAAAAAAAUGAUUGUAAAUUGAUUUGCUGCAACUCAUAUAUCAAACAAAAACGGGUGCCACAUGUGGAGCAGGAUUUGCUUGGCCUUACGGAGCACCUGAGAUUAACCCCAGUUCUUGCUGAGGUGCGUGUUGCUCUGUAUUUAGUUUUCUUUGGGUUUUUUUUUUUUUGUAAUGUUGUUUUACGUUUGUCUGUUGGUCUAUUUCUUUUGUAGCCAUUGCGUUGUAAGUUGAUUUUCGAUUUAUAAGUAAUUAUAAAGGAGAAAUCCAUCACAUAUAACAUCUGCAGUGGACGCUGCCCUGUUGGAAUAUCUACAAAGACAAAAACAGUAGCAGUCAUAAUACAAAUAAAUGAAUUAUUAUUAUUAUUAUUAUUAUUAUUAUCAUUAUCAUUAUCAUUAUCAUUAUUAUUAUUAUCAUUAUUAUGUUGUUGUUGUUGAUGUAUUAGUAGUUGUUGUUGUUGUUGCAAUAAAAGUAGUAGUUGUAGUAGUUAUAGUAGUAGUAGUAGUAGUAGUUGUUUUUGUUAUUUUAAAACUUAAUAUAAGGAAUAAUUGUUCUUUACGUAAUUACUGGAAACCUUACCAUUCUAUCUAUAUUGUUGGCAUUAGCAUCUCGUUUUCCUCUGUGGAAUUCAAGUCCUGGUGGUGGUAGACCUGGUUGAUGUCCACUAGCUGCUCCUGCUAAAACUGACAUUAGCAUCAUGAACAUCGCACACAGAAUCUUGCCUAUUUUCAUCUUGCAGAGGAUUUCCUCACCUAGAUGACAUAUAAUAAUGUAGGAUACGAUUUUU
This 3044-nucleotide long non-coding RNA is filed under the name Mytilus galloprovincialis (Mediterranean mussel). Lineage: Eukaryota; Metazoa; Mollusca; Bivalvia; Mytilida; Mytilidae. The record is from RNAcentral.